This 254-nucleotide ribosomal RNA is filed under the name uncultured bacterium. RNAcentral's name for it is "partial 16S ribosomal RNA". It matches the Rfam family "Archaeal small subunit ribosomal RNA", at positions 474 to 727 of the family's 1478-position model. The record is from RNAcentral.
CACCGGCGGCCCGAGUGGUGGCCACUAUUAUUGGGUCUAAAGGGUCCGUAGCCGGUUUGAUCAGUCUUCCGGGAAAUCUGACAGCUCAACUGUUAGGCUUCCGGGGGAUACUGUCAGACUUGGGACCGGGAGAGGUAAGAGGUACUACAGGGGUAGGAGUGAAAUCUUGUAAUCCCUGUGGGACCACCAGUGGCGAAGGCGUCUUACCAGAACGGGUCCGACGGUGAGGGACGAAAGCUGGGGGCACGAACCGG